GCGGGCGGGCCGGCUGCCUCGCUCAGCGCUCACCCGUUCAGACAGGCAGAUGUAACUUCAGGAGGCAACCGUGGAAGAAGGAGGGAGAAGGGGGCACGGGCUUGUUCACAGCUGCCCAAGGACUUGAAGACCUGAGAGGGCCGGUGGUCUGCAGGCGUGGCCACGGAGGCGACACGGCCCGAAGCGCGGGUGAUAUUUGUGGAAAACCAGCCAGAGCAGAAUCUCUCGGCAUUCAGCUAACCCAGUCUGGGGGCCAGAGGUGACACCACUUGAAAUUCCGAGACUGGGACAGAGACAGGAUGGAAACAGAGGCAUUUUCUGAGGCGAUCUGUGUACAGCACCAGUGAUUAAACUGCUGGAUGAGAACUCAGCUUCAUACAGUUCCCAUUCAGUUUUCUAGCAUCAGGCCAGAGCUUUGCCUCUCUGCUGUUUCAGCGUUUGUCCUGAGGAGGACAAACGCUGUACAAGGAGGAAGCUGGAGCAGUGCACCUAUGCAUGCACGUCCCUCGCUGCCCUAAGAUACGUCCCUUAGCAAAAAAAUAUUUAAGACUUCCCCGAUGGAAUUAAACUAAUACAACUUUGUCAUCCUUCACCCUAAAAUAAGAGAAAAUACAGGGACCUUUCGUAUGCUUCUGGUUUUCAACUUUCCCAUGAACAUCAACAUCAAAUCUUUCCAGAGUCACCCUACCCCCAUCCCUUAUGAUGCAUUUAGAAAGGUGGUGUUUUCUUCCAUACUUUGCACAAUCGUGGAACUGGCAGUUCCUUUACCUGUAUCCUGUACUGCUUGGUACAGCUUGGAAGGUUUGCUUAAAAUUAGCUUUGCAGGUAAUACCCAGAAGAGUUGAGAUGCCAAGCAGAAUAGCAGGCAUUUGACAACUGUUAUUCUGAAAUCAGUGGAAUAUAUGAUGCCUUGUUUCCAACCCUGCUACUGUACUCCAAAUGAGCUUCUUAGAGCAUAGACCAGCACUGGGCUGCCCACACCAAGAGUGGGCAGUCUGUGUGGUGGGCAGCAGUACAUGCCUCCUCCUACAUGGGAGCUUGCUCUCCUGUUACAAGCAAACCACAAGCUAUGUGAAUGUGAUUAAGCAGUAGCACUUGGUACCAGCAGUCAGGGCCUGAAGCUUACCUUUCCUUAGAGUAUAUGCAGAGUAAACUAGGCUCCCCUUUGAAAUAACUGAGGCUGUCUUCACAGAUUCCUUCGCUAAGAUUCAGAAAGCUCUCAGGCAGUUAAAGAGUCUGGCUCGCACAACUAAGAAACACGCAACUUUGCUCUGAAGGUUUUUAGCAGUCAACAGAAAUAGCACUUGGUAAAGGUCAGCAACUCAUCUUUCUAGACCUAAUAACAAUAACAGGGCCAGCAAGGUUGUUCUGUGACGAUGCCCACAGUGAUUUAUGACCUACGGGGGCUGUGUUACAGCAGGAGCAAAAAAAAUCAGUAAUACUAGUUGCAGCUUGGAGGAGUUAAUAAAACCUGCAGCUGAGGGUAGGGAAGGCUACUCUGCCCUUGUUAGCUAAUCUUUCUGUGUGGCUUUUAGCAGGUUACUUCUCCCAUACAGAAUUAAGAACCAGGGAAGCCAGAGAGUUUGGCAAGAAAGCUGUGAAAAGACCAGGAAGCUCAGCUCCGCUUUCAAUCAGUACUUGCAGUUACACUUUUAUAGCCUGCAGCUAGUUCCUUUUCACAUGUAUUUUGUUGGUUGGGAAGAAGAGAAGAUGACAAAAUUAACAAUCUGUGGACUGAAUAACUUGGCUGGGGGAAAGGCAGGGCAGAGUUGCAUGCUGGAAGGACUGCUUUCUAAUUUUGUGCCACAGAGGGACAGAUGGGAAACUACUCCUGAGAGCUGAAUGCAAUGUAGAGUUGUUAACUUGCAUCUUUCCCUAGUAAACGUGACACUGUAGCAUCAGGAGUGAAAACUGAGCUGAAGAAUUACCUCUUAUCAAUCAAAUGACAAAAGUGUGAAGGGAAAAGAUAACACCCCCCCCAACAAACCCUCCUCUUGCCAGCUAGACCAUUAAUGGGACUAGGAUCUCUAAGAGGCUGAAAUAACAGUUCAUCCUCUGCACUUAAAUCAGCACGGCUGCAGAACCGAUGUGCAUAGAAAUGGAACUAAAGGAAGAACAGCAGCAUUGACAGCCACGAUGAUAAAAGGAUAAACUUGCCAGCUGUCAUCAGCUGUCUUCCUAUAACCCAAGUAACUGUCAUUGAAUCCUCUCUGGAAAUGGGACAUGCUCCACAGAUAGCCUUGUCAGUCAUGCUGUGUUUCUAAGGGUAAGCUCAGCCUCUGACUAUGUCAUAAUUCUCUUAAGAAAGACAAUAACUGGCUCCAAAUGAAGGCUAUAAACAGUCAAGAAGCCCUGACUUCUCUUCAGAGUGGAGACUGGCUAAGUAAAUGUGCAACGCAGAAAAGCCUGUGUGGGAAGGAUCCUUUGGCUGCGUAGCAACCUUACACGGGCAUAUUUUUGUGGCAGGAAUCUG
Molecule: long non-coding RNA, 2473 nt
Organism: Neopelma chrysocephalum (saffron-crested tyrant-manakin)
Lineage: Eukaryota; Metazoa; Chordata; Aves; Passeriformes; Pipridae
Exons: 3
Source: RefSeq, a predicted model, not a curated record